CUCAGAGGGGUGAUGAAACCCGCUUCCCAAGUGAACCCCUUGCUGGUUACCCCUGCCCGGCCUCAACUCAGGGAUGAAGAGGAAAGAAAGUCAAAGCGGCCUCUUCUAGACAAGAAGGCACCUAGCAGGACUGACUGGGGUCCUACUGUGCCCUCAUUUAUGCCGGUUACUAAAAUGAAUGACAGCACGCCUGCUAUGGCUGAACUCAGCCUGUGGAAUGGCCCGAAGGCAUCCCUGCCCAGCGACUCAUAACUCGCACCUGCACACACACCUUACAGCAGAUGGUAAUCGAAAGCUCCAGCCCUACCCCGGGGAUCUGAAGCUAAAUUAGAAUCACCGGGUUGCUCUCCGGGAUCCUGCCUGCUCUUUGAUUAUCCUCAAUCCAGGAAGCCCCAGAUGCUGGUGAGCUUUGUCUCUCUGGGUUCCCUGUGCCUUCAACCAGGUAGCCAGACUCUGCUGGAGAAAAAUCGCACAGUCAAGCCGCAUGUCUCCUUCACACUGGUAAAAAUAAGCCUUAAAUUCCUCCUCACCCCUGCCCUAAAACUGACUACCUCUGCCUAGGCAGUGUGCUGCCCCACUCUCUGAGAUGCUUCCAUACUUCCACUGACACUGCUCCUCCUCUCCUCUCCCCACCCCACCCUGUCAGUCGCCAUCCUCUCAGCUGCCAGCUUUAUCUCAUGUUUCUGAGAAAAAUGAAGCCAAAAGCAUGAGCUCCCUUAUCCCUCCCCCGCCAAAUCUACACACCCCUGCACAGGCGCCUUUCCCUCUGCCCACAAAGGAGCAAGUCAGUAUAUCCCUGCCUAGCAAAGCCCAGUCCUCCAGAAUAAUGCCCCUCACGGAUAACCAGGUCCUAAUUCCUGAAACAUCUGAUUGUUUCUUUAUAUGGCAGAAGGCUUUGCAGGUGUGAUUAAAUUAAGGGUCGUGAGCUGGAGAGAUUACCCUGGAUUAUCUCGGUGGGUCCUAAAUGUGAUCACAAGUGUCCUCAUAACAGAGGGGCAGUAGGAAAUUUGACUACACAGCCGGAGGCGACGUAACAAAAGCAGAAAGAGAUUUGAAGAUGUUAAACUGCUGGUUUGGAAGAUGAAGGGGCCAAGAGCCAGGAAAAGCAGCUCUAGAUGCUGGAAAAAGCAAGGAAAUAGACUCCCCCUCAGAGCCUCUGGAGGGACCUGCAGUCCUGUGGACAAUUUAUAGUCCAGUGCAACUGGUUUUGGACUUCUGACCUCCAAAACUGUAAGAGAAUAAACGUACGUGGUUUUAUGCCACCAAGAGUGUGGUGUUACAGCAGCCCUAGGAAUCUCAUAUGCCCUCCCUGCUCCCUGCUCAAAGGCUUUGUUCUUCAGCUCCUCUCUUUCUCUCCUGCACAAGUUACUCAUCACUCCUUCCUACUGGACCAUUUUCAUCAGUGUAUAAGCAAAAAAAAAAAAAAAAUUAUCUGUAUUUCACUUUCCAUUCAUCCUUCAGCUCAUGCCACUCUGACUCUCAAACCUGCCACACACCAAGUCUUCUCAAAGUCACUGAAGAUGUCCACAUUGACAAGUCAAAUGAACACUUUAUGUUCCUCAUCUUCCUGGGCUUCUCAGCAGCGUUGGUACAACUGCCAUUGGCCCCAUCUGCAUCCACCGUCCUUUCUGCUUCUCUGAUCUACCUCCUACCAUCCCCACGUCACUCCUCAGUCUCUUCAACCCAACCUUUGAUGUCAGUUUUCAGCGCUCAGCCUCCAACCCACUUUUGUUUCUCUGCAUCACUCCCUAGGUGAUCUCAUCCAUAGCCAUGGCUUUAACACCAUCUAUAUGCUGCUGCCAAAGUGUACAUUUGCAGCCGAGGCCUCUCUCUGAGCUCUCACUAUCUACAGGAUGCCUCCUCUUGUUUGUCCUGCAGGUGUGCUGAAGCUGACCUUGUGCUUCCCUGCAGCAAUCUGCUUGUCCUCCGAUUUCCCC
This 1937-nucleotide long non-coding RNA is filed under the name Homo sapiens (human). RNAcentral describes it as "HSALNT0100930". The record is from RNAcentral. Lineage: Eukaryota; Metazoa; Chordata; Mammalia; Primates; Hominidae.